RNAcentral lists this ribosomal RNA (486 nucleotides) under uncultured Armatimonadota bacterium. RNAcentral's name for it is "bacterial SSU rRNA". It matches the Rfam family "Bacterial small subunit ribosomal RNA", at positions 9 to 524 of the family's 1533-position model. The record is from RNAcentral. Lineage: Bacteria; Bacillati; Armatimonadota.
GAGUUUGAUCCUGGCUCAGGACGAACGCUAGCGGCGUGCCUAAGGUAUGCAAGUCGAACGGGGGCUUCGGCCCUCGUGGCGAACGGGUCGAGUAACACGUAGACAACCUGCCCGCAAGUGGGGGAUAACAGCUCGAAAGGGCUGCUAAUACCGCAUGUGGUCCUGGGCCGCCUGGUCCGGGUACUAAAGAUUUAUUGCUUGCGGAUGGGUCUGCGGCCUAUCAGCUAGUUGGCGGGGUAACGGCCCACCAAGGCGACGACGGGUAGCGGGUCUGAGAGGAUGAUCCGCCGGACGGGGACUGAGACACGGCCCCGACUCCUUCGGGAGGCAGCAAUGAGGAAUAUUGCACAAUGGGCGAAAGCCUGAUGCAGCGACGCCGCGUGGGUGAGGAAGUUCUUCGGAAUGUAAAGCCCUUUUGUCGGGGACGAUCCAAGACGGUACCCGACGAAUAAGCCCCGCUAACUACGUGCCAGCAGCCGCCGCGGU